Long non-coding RNA from Numida meleagris (helmeted guineafowl), 1690 nucleotides. The record is from Ensembl. NCBI's taxonomy places the organism in Eukaryota, Metazoa, Chordata, Aves, Galliformes, Numididae.
GUUAAUCUUCAGGUCUGUUUGAAGAUUGCUUUCUUGUCUUGAUUUUGGCUAUUGCUGUAGGUUUGCCUGCGAAGCUCUAAACGUGAUCUUAAUGCUGACCUGUGGACUGACUUUUCUAGCUUGAUUUCACAUCUGCCUCAUAACAGGACACUGUCUAAUGAACUAGAUUCCUACUGGAAUGAGUUACCUCUGGACCUUUCCUGCUUAAACGCUGCAGCACUAGACUUUGGCUGGUGAGUCCUACCUUCUUCUUGCUCUGGGAUCUCCUUAAUGCCCCAACCCAAAGCAUUCUUGUUUGCUCGUCAGCAUGUGCAGAGGUCCCUGCAAGACUUUUAAGCCUCAUGGAGGAUAUCUUACUGAAAGCAAACCUGUGGCAUGCAGCCAAGGAGAUGUAAGAGAGGUGAAGAAGAGAUCACAUUCCCUAAAAAGAACAGUUAGGCUCUCCUAUGUCUCUUUUGUGUAUUUGUCUGUCUUCUAUAAAAUCCGUGGCUGCUGGACUUGUGGAAAAAACCCUACACCUUCUUGAUGCACUAAAGUGAAGAUCUGAAGCAACUGGAUGCAAUUUCUUAAUGUCCUAGGAGCAAAUGGUGGCUGUUUUUCCAUGUGCCAAAAAAGCGUGGCUACAAAGGCACCGCCAACAUGACAUGAAGCCAGUGUGUUCUGCUUUCUGCCAAAUACGUGACUAGUUUGCAAGUACAAUUGGAAUUGUAUUGCUUCAAAUCUAGCUUGAGGUGGUUCAGAGCCUUGUGAAAGCAAAAGAUAACUCCCCAUAUGAUUGUAAGCUAACUAGUGUGCGGGGGAGCAGCUCCCAGCCAAUUUAGGCAUGAGAUGUACAUCAAAAUAGAACGAGAGACUUCUAAAACAGGAGGUGGAGAAAGUGCACACCAUUCAAAAUCCAUUAAGAGGAGCUUCAGUCAACCUCAAACAGUCAUUUCUAAUGCAAUUAAAGGAAGCUUUUGUAGACUUCAUCAUCUGUGCCUACAGAAAACUAAGUGGAACAUCAAGAGAUGCAAGAGUGAAAGGAAAUGGUCUGGAAAUGAGUUUAGGUCUUCUUUAGGACUUCUUCUGAAAUAAAAUGGCACUUCACUUUGUGUAAGCUGGCAGGUUGCUAAAUACUGCUGCUGUCUCAGACUGAAAAGUCAACUGCUGAUCCUGUGCUGAGGUGCAGCACAGAAGAAGAAGAACGUAGACCCAGCGCUUUAAUGAAAGGUGCCAGAACUGAGAGAAUUCUGGAGUAGCCCAAAGGUUUAUGAUGAGCAAUUAGUUCCCAAAGUUAAUUUUUCUUUGCAGUUAGGUUCUUGGAAUGAACUCUCAUUGCCUCAAGAUGAAACCUGCACUCUGUUCCUUCUGAACUUUGAAGAAGUGUUCUGAUACUUUUAUUGUGGCAUAUGUUUUUCCCAAUUAUAUUUAAAUGUAAUUAUGUGUAUAUCAUCCAAACAAGUCAAGAACUUGCACCUUUUGAAAGUCUGACAUUUUCUGUUUUGUUUUGCUGUUUUUUUUUUUCCCCCACCCUCUACUGUUAUUCAUGUACGUGCUUUAAAAACAGGAGAUAUACAAAUCAACUCUGAAGUCAGGGUGUAUUGCAUUAAAAUGUGUUUUAAGUACAAUCUCAGUAUUCCCACUUAGCUGUAAAUUUCAUUUGUCAACACUUCAACUUCCUGGCUAUGACUCCAUGCCUUCAGCUGGCUUG